UAGGGAAUAUUGGACAAUGGGCGCAAGCCUGAUCCAGCCAUGCCGCGUGAGUGAAGAAGGCCCUCGGGUUGUAAAGCUCUUUUGUUGGGGAAGAAAAGCAGUUGGUUAAUACCCGAUUGUUCUGACGGUACCCAAAGAAUAAGCACCGGCUAACUUCGUGCCAGCAGCCGCGGUAAUACGAAGGGUGCAAGCGUUACUCGGAAUUACUGGGCGUAAAGCGUGCGUAGGUGGUUGUUUAAGUCUGAUGUGAAAGCCCUGGGCUCAACCUGGGAAUGGCAUUGGAUACUGGAUAGCUAGAGUGCGGUAGAGGGUAGUGGAAUUCCCGGUGUAGCAGUGAAAUGCGUAGAGAUCGGGAGGAACAUCCGUGGCGAAGGCGACUACCUGGGCCAGCACUGACACUGAGGCACGAAAGCGUGGGGAGCAAACA
This 427-nucleotide ribosomal RNA is filed under the name uncultured bacterium. RNAcentral describes it as "bacterial SSU rRNA". It matches the Rfam family "Bacterial small subunit ribosomal RNA", at positions 355 to 774 of the family's 1533-position model. The record is from RNAcentral.